This 245-nucleotide ribosomal RNA is filed under the name uncultured Vampirovibrio sp. RNAcentral's name for it is "partial 16S ribosomal RNA". It matches the Rfam family "Bacterial small subunit ribosomal RNA", at positions 524 to 768 of the family's 1533-position model. Lineage: Bacteria; Bacillati; Candidatus Melainabacteria; Vampirovibriophyceae; Vampirovibrionales; Vampirovibrionaceae. The record is from RNAcentral.
GACGUAGGAUGCAAGCGUUGUCCGGAUUUAUUGGGCGUAAAGAGUUCGUAGGUGGUUCACUAAGUCUGAUGUUAAAGAUCAGGGCCCAACCCUGGGAUUGCAUUGGAUACUGGUGGACUGGAGUGCAGUAGAGGCAAGCGGAAUUCCCAGUGUAGCGGUGAAAUGCGUAGAUAUUGGGAAGAACACCGGUGGCGCAAGCGGCUUGCUGGGCUGUAACUGACGCUGAGGAACGAAAGCUAGGGGAG